Molecule: ribosomal RNA, 237 nt
Filed under: uncultured bacterium
Lineage: Bacteria
Description: partial 16S ribosomal RNA
Rfam family: Bacterial small subunit ribosomal RNA
Source: RNAcentral
CGGACGGGUGAGUAACGCGUGAGGAACCUGCCUCAAAGAGGGGGACAACAGUUGGAAACGACUGCUAAUACCGCAUAAGCCCACGGGUCGGCAUCGACCAGAGGGAAAAGGAGCAAUCCGCUUUGAGAUGGCCUCGCGUCCGAUUAGCUAGUUGGUGAGGUAAUGGCCCACCAAGGCAACGAUCGGUAGCCGGACUGAGAGGUUGAACGGCCACAUUGGGACUGAGACACGGCCCAG